This 253-nucleotide ribosomal RNA is filed under the name uncultured bacterium. RNAcentral's name for it is "partial 16S ribosomal RNA". It matches the Rfam family "Bacterial small subunit ribosomal RNA", at positions 524 to 776 of the family's 1533-position model. The record is from RNAcentral.
UACGUAGGUGGCGAGCGUUGUCCGGAUUUACUGGGCGUAAAGGGCGUGCAGGCGGUUUGUUAAGUGCAGGGUGAAAGCUCCCGGCUCAACUGGGAGAGGUCCUUGCAUACUGGCGAACUCGAGGGAGGCAGAGGAAAGUGGAAUUCCCGGUGUAGUGGUGAUAUGCGUAGAUAUCGGGAGGAACACCUGUGGCGAAGGCGGCUCCCUGGCCUGUUCUCGACGCUGAGGCGCGAAAGCGUGGGGAGCAAACAGG